GACGGAGGGUGCUAGCGUUGUUCGGAAUGACUGGGCGUAAAGGGCGCGUAGGCGGCUUGGUCAGUCGGGUGUGAAAGCCCGGGGCUCAACCCCGGAACGGCAUCCGAUACGGCCAGGCUGGAGACCGGGAGAGGAGGGUGGAAUACCCAGUGUAGAGGUGAAAUUCGUAGAUAUUGGGUGGAACACCGGUGGCGAAAGCGGCUCUCUGGCCCGGAUCUGACGCUGAGGCGCGAAAGCGUGGGGAGCAAACAGG
Molecule: ribosomal RNA, 253 nt
Filed under: uncultured bacterium
Lineage: Bacteria
Description: partial 16S ribosomal RNA
Rfam family: Bacterial small subunit ribosomal RNA
Source: RNAcentral